GCAGAGGGGCAGCUCUGCUGGAGAGACCUGAGGCUUGCAUCGCUGGGCCCGGCCGGGUCGCUGCGGCUGGGCUGGAGCCAAGGUUAACUAUUUGUAACAUGUCAUCUUUCAAGGAAGCAUCUAACCAAGAUUAAGUCAAAGGCAUCUACCAGGUCCUGAAUUCUCUCCCAGAUGCACACCUUUUAAGGUCAAGGAUGCAUUCCAGGAAAGUUCUAUAAAAAUAUACCAUCAACUCCAACCUGAUAUUUGACCUAGCCAUGGAAAACCUCAUUGGCUCCUCACUGGAUCAGACCAUAAAAAUGAUCCAGGAAUGAAAAUCUAAGAUAAAUUCCCACCACUUCAAGAUGUUCUUAUACAAGUCAACAGUCUAGCAGAUCAGCCAGUCUCUUUCAUCAUCAAGCAGACAUACUCAAGAAAGAGGAAUAGUGAAGUGAAAUACACAGAAGCAUGUUCAAGUUCAUCUGUUGAAUCUGGAAUUGUGAAUAGUGACAAUAUUGAGAAAAAUACUGACUCCAAUCUGCAAACUUCAACUUCAUUUGAGCCACAUUUCAAAAAGAAA
RNAcentral lists this small RNA (559 nucleotides) under Pan troglodytes (chimpanzee). RNAcentral describes it as "processed transcript". The record is from RNAcentral. Lineage: Eukaryota; Metazoa; Chordata; Mammalia; Primates; Hominidae.